GAAGCUUCCUUCGGGAAGUGGAUUAGCGGCGGACGGGUGAGUAACACGUGGGUAACCUGCCUCAAAGUGGGGAAUAGCCUUCCGAAAGGAAGAUUAAUACCGCAUAACGUAAGAGAAUCGCAUGAUUUUCUUACCAAAGAUUUAUCGCUUUGAGAUGGACCCGCGGCGCAUUAGCUAGUUGGUGAGGUAACUGCUCACCAAGGCAACGAUGCGUAGCCGACCUGAGAGGGUGAUCGGCCACAUUGGAACUGAGACACGGUCCAGACUCCUACGGGAGGCAGCAGUGGGGAAUAUUGCGCAAUGGGGGGAACCCUGACGCAGCAACGCCGCGUGAGUGAUGAAGGUCUUCGGAUUGUAAAGCUCUGUUUUCUAGGACGAUAAUGACGGUACUAGAAGAGGAAGCCACGGCUAACUACGUGCCAGCAGCCGCGGUAAUACGUAGGUGGCGAGCGUUGUCCGGAUUUACUGGGCGUAAAGGGUGCGUAGGCGGAUUCUUAAGUGGGAUGUGAAAUACCCGAGCUUAACUUGGGUGCUGCAUUCCAAACUGGGAAUCUAGAGUGCAGGAGAGGAAAGUGGAAUUCCUAGUGUAGCGGUGAAAUG
RNAcentral lists this ribosomal RNA (600 nucleotides) under uncultured Clostridium sp. RNAcentral describes it as "bacterial SSU rRNA". It matches the Rfam family "Bacterial small subunit ribosomal RNA", at positions 70 to 688 of the family's 1533-position model. The record is from RNAcentral. Lineage: Bacteria; Bacillati; Bacillota; Clostridia; Eubacteriales; Clostridiaceae.